GGCGGAGUGAUACAGCUGUGUGUGAUUUGUCCUGUCAGAGAAAGUGGCGCGGAGUGAUACAGUCCUCUGUGUGUGAUCUUAGUAGAAACACAGCCAGUUCUGCAGAUUUUUACGGAGCCCAGUAAACUCAUUUAUCACUGUAUUCAUGUGUAGAGCGGAAAUUGGACAGGACUCUCACCGAAAUAACCAGGAGACCCACUCGGGGGACCAUUGGCGGACGCUUAGGCUUCUGCAGGAAAAUCACGUGAAUGGAGUAGGAAGCUUUCGGGAGAACACAGCGCUGCCGAACCAAGUGACAUUGCAGCGGAAUAUUCCAGUCUACACCCGAGAAGCCAGGCAGCUGUCCAUUCGCUUUGUACUGAGACGGUGGACUUAUAACCCAUUGAUCUGACAGGAAGCCAGGAAGUUGAAUUUAGUUCCUAAUACUUGUCCUAAAAUGUUUCCAAUAUUUUCAUUACAAAAUAUUUUGUUCUAACAAAUAGUAAUGAUAAUAUACAUAAUGGAUAAAAAUUUCACAAGUGAAGGAAAGUAAACCAAU
This is a long non-coding RNA of Pseudophryne corroboree (corroboree frog), 538 nucleotides long. RefSeq lists it as uncharacterized. The record is from RefSeq and is a predicted model, not a curated record. NCBI's taxonomy places the organism in Eukaryota, Metazoa, Chordata, Amphibia, Anura, Myobatrachidae. The transcript has 3 exons.